Molecule: ribosomal RNA, 437 nt
Filed under: uncultured bacterium
Lineage: Bacteria
Description: partial 16S ribosomal RNA
Rfam family: Bacterial small subunit ribosomal RNA (bases 73-437)
Source: RNAcentral
GGGGGGGGGGGGGGGGGGGGGGGGGGGGGGGGGGGGGGGGGGGGGGGGGGGGGGGGGGGGGCGGAGGGGGGGGUGGCGGGUGAGGGCGUGGCGUUGGGGGGGGGACAACAACUGGGGACGGGUGCGACUACCCCGUAGGCUGAGGGGCAACAGGAGAAGUCCGCCCAAGGAGGGGCUCGCGUCUGAUCAGCUGGUUGGUGAGGUAAUAGCUUACCAAGGCGAUGAUCAGUAGCUGGUCCGAGAGGAUGAUCAGCCACACUGGGACUGAGACACGGCCCAGACUCCUACGGGAGGCAGCAGUGGGGAAUUUUCCGCAAUGGGCGAAAGCCUGACGGAGCAAUGCCGCGUGGAGGUGGAAGGCCUACGGGUCGUCAACUUCUUUUCUCGGAGAAGAAACAAUGACGGUAUCUGAGGAAUAAGCAUCGGCUAACUCUGUG